RNAcentral lists this ribosomal RNA (484 nucleotides) under uncultured bacterium. Its description in RNAcentral is "partial 16S ribosomal RNA". It matches the Rfam family "Bacterial small subunit ribosomal RNA", at positions 30 to 507 of the family's 1533-position model. The record is from RNAcentral.
AUUGAACGCUGGCGGCAUGCCUUACACAUGCAAGUCGAACGGUAACGGGUCCUUCGGGAUGCCGACGAGUGGCGAACGGGUGAGUAAUAUAUCGGAACGUGCCCAGUAGUGGGGGAUAACUGCUCGAAAGAGCAGCUAAUACCGCAUACGACCUGAGGGUGAAAGGGGGGGAUCGCAAGACCUCUCGCUAUUGGAGCGGCCGAUAUCAGAUUAGCUAGUUGGUGGGGUAAAGGCCUACCAAGGCAACGAUCUGUAGUUGGUCUGAGAGGACGACCAGCCACACUGAGACUGAGACACGGCCCAGACUCCUACGGGAGGCAGCAGUGGGGAAUUUUGGACAAUGGGCGCAAGCCUGAUCCAGCAAUGCCGCGUGCAGGAAGAAGGCCUUCGGGUUGUAAACUGCUUUUGUCAGGGAAGAAAUCUUCUGGGCUAAUACCCCGGGAGGAUGACGGUACCUGAAGAAUAAGCACCGGCUAACUACGUG